GCGCUUGUAGCCCAACCGGCAGAGGCAGCGGACUUAAAAUCCGCGUGUUGUGGGUUCGAAUCCCACCUGGCGCACUA
This 77-nucleotide transfer RNA is filed under the name Bifidobacterium callitrichidarum. RNAcentral's name for it is "tRNA-Leu". It matches the Rfam family "tRNA". Rfam says of the family: Transfer RNA (tRNA) molecules are approximately 80 nucleotides in length. Lineage: Bacteria; Bacillati; Actinomycetota; Actinomycetes; Bifidobacteriales; Bifidobacteriaceae. The record is from RNAcentral.